GUCCCUGUAGUGCAAUGGAUAACGCUUCGGAUUUAUGAUUCCAAAGUCGUAGGUUGGAAUCCUACCUGGGAUG
Non-coding RNA from Trichonephila clavipes, 73 nucleotides. The record is from the annotation of a GenBank genome assembly. NCBI's taxonomy places the organism in Eukaryota, Metazoa, Arthropoda, Arachnida, Araneae, Nephilidae.